This 1173-nucleotide long non-coding RNA is filed under the name Malus domestica (apple). RNAcentral describes it as "long non-coding RNA (MDOM_LNC008047)". Lineage: Eukaryota; Viridiplantae; Streptophyta; Magnoliopsida; Rosales; Rosaceae. The record is from RNAcentral.
UAGUUUUGUACCCAGCUCUCUUGAGGGUUGUGGAGUGUAGCUAGUAUUGAACAUGGAGAUCAAUUAUGCUCUGGCAUUGCUCUUAGUCCUCAUUCUCAACUUGGGUAGUUUGCUCACUUCUCUUGCUAACUCCUAUUGCCCACCACCAACAUACCCUCCAGUUCCUCACUUGCCACCCAAACACCCUCCCCAUGUAACUCCACCCUUCCACCCUAAACCACCAAAGAAGCCACCACCAUAUGUCAAACCACCUCAUGCAAAGCCUCCUCCUCAUGUACCAAUCAAACCCCCUCAUGUUAAACCACCCAUUGUAAAACCACCUCCUUAUCCGAAACCUCCAGUUGCCAAACCACCUCCCCAUCCCAAACCUCCUGUUGUCAAACCACCUCCCCAUCCCAAACCUCCUGUUGUCAAACCACCUCCCCAUCCCAAACCUCCUGUUGUCAAACCACCUCCCUAUCCCAAACCUCCUGUUGUCAAACCACCUCACCUAUCCCAAACCUCCUGUUGUCAAACCACCCUCCCUAUCCCAAACCUCCUGUUGUCAAACCACCUCCCUAUCCCAAACCUCCUGUUGUCAAACCACCUCACCAUCCCAAGCCUCCUGUUGUCAAACCACCUCCCCAUCCCAAACCUCCUGUUGUCAAGCCUCCAGUUGUCAAACCACCUCCCCAUCCCAAACCACCAGUUGUACUGCCUCCACCAUAUACCCCGAAGCCCCGGUUGUACUGCCUUCCACCAUAUACCCCGAAGCCCCCGGUUGUGCUGCCUCCACCAUAUACCCCGAAGCCCCCGGUUGUGGCCUCCACCAUAUCCCCCGAACCCCCCCGGUGUAUGUGCUGCCUCCACCAUAUACCCCGAAGCCCCCGGUUGUACUGCCUCCACCAUAUACCCCGAAGCCCCCGGUUGUACUGCCUCCACCAUAUACCCCGAAGCCCCCGGUUGUACUGCCUCCACCAUAUACCCCGAAGCCCCCGGUUGUACUGCCUCCACCAUAUACCCCGAAGCCCCCAGUUGUACUGCCUCCACCAUAUACCCCCAAGCCCCCAGUUGUACUGCCUCCACCAUAUACCCCCAAGCCCCCAGUUGUACUGCCUCCACCUUCACCACCUGUUGUAGUGCCAAGCCCACCAUCAACACCAACCCCAACCCCAGUUGUCCCAGUGAAGCCUC